AACCCAUGGUGAGGGCAUCUUCUCAAGAGGUCCUUGUAUCUCUCCCAUGCAUCGUAGAGUGUUUCUAAAUCCAUCUAUACAAAAGAAGAGAUCAUUACGUAAUUUAUCAGUUU
This is a non-coding RNA of Gossypium arboreum, 113 nucleotides long. NCBI's taxonomy places the organism in Eukaryota, Viridiplantae, Streptophyta, Magnoliopsida, Malvales, Malvaceae. The record is from Rfam.